AGAAUCGGUGGAUUUAAACUUUGA
This 24-nucleotide ribosomal RNA is filed under the name Albinaria voithii. RNAcentral describes it as "partial 5.8S ribosomal RNA". The record is from RNAcentral. Lineage: Eukaryota; Metazoa; Mollusca; Gastropoda; Stylommatophora; Clausiliidae.